Long non-coding RNA from Rhopalosiphum padi (bird cherry-oat aphid), 1328 nucleotides. RefSeq lists it as uncharacterized. The transcript is spliced from 5 exons. The record is from RefSeq and is a predicted model, not a curated record. Lineage: Eukaryota; Metazoa; Arthropoda; Insecta; Hemiptera; Aphididae.
CCUUCCGGUCUCCGUUUCGUAUAUUAUCCGCCGCGAGUGCAAUUCGCUGCGCAAUUGCCACGUGUUUUCGCGGUCUGCAUUUUUCGUUCGGACUCUAGCAGUCAAUAGUCAUCCGCGUUUCUAUACGCGCGAUGUGCGAAUAAUAUUUUUACUAUAUUUAUUUCUGCUACGCUCGCGAGUGCAUAUUUUUUCUAUAUAGUCACGUGUCGUCGCUGUAAAUGCAACUAACUUGGUACUUAAAUUUAUAUAUAUUACGCCUAACUGCCCAAGAUAUACGCACAUAACUUCGCCACCCGAUUACUUGUUGUCAAACGGGUGAUGCGUGAAGUGCGUGUUCAUAUAUUUAUCAUUAUUGGUUGUUUCGCGUUCGACGUCUUCGCUAGGUCAUUGACCUCACGUCUCGUCAGCUGACUGCACGGCUAUAUUGGUCAUACGUCGCUGUGGGAUUGCUGCCGUUUCAACGCAUUGCAUGUACAUGUCACAGGUCUUAUUAUAAUAUUACAUAUUAUUGUUAUUGCUAUUAUUUAUUGUCAAUUAUUAUAUGUAUACUGUUAAUAUUCUUAUACAUUAUGUCUAGGCGUCCAUAUUAUUUAUAUUGAAUUACUUAUUAUUAUUAUUAUAUCAUAUAUAUUCAUAUUGUGCACAGCACUUAUUUUAUUGUAUUUUUCAUACUCUUAUAUUGAAUCGGUAACCCUCACGCGACACCUCUGCUCAGGUAUUCAGUCACCCCGGCCAAAUCGGUGUUUCCGAAUUGCGGACAAAGUGACAAAAACCAUGUGAGUUGCGGACGAAAUCUAAAAAGGAUCAACUGGAUCAAGAAUUUAAAAAGAAAAAUCAUCUACUGACAACAAAUUAAAAAAGCCAAGUUUACGAAAACGAAGAAGAUAGUGAUGACGAAAACUUCAUCCCUGAUGUUAAUAAUUCAGCUAAUUAUGGCGAAACCAUUGAAGAUGAGAUAGAUGGUAUAUGGGACAUGCUAAAUUCUAUGGAGGCCGAUCUAAAUUACUGCUCACGGCUAAAUCCCAGUGACCGUAAUACAAAGGUUACAGAAAAAUGGCAAGAAAUCAUGCGACAUUUCCAAUUUAUGAACAUAGAACAGACAGUAGGUCUCAUCCUGUUUCGUGGAUCAAAUUAUAUUGAAUAUGUGGAUUGUGAUAUUGAAGGUGACCUCGGGAGGAUUUUAAAAGCUGAAAAUGUUGAGUACUUAACAGAAGCAUCUUCAGAAGAAGAUCUAUUAGAGGUAUUGAUGGGUUACACUCAAGCUGAAGUUUUACUUCAGCUUAAAUUUGAAAACGAAUUUUUAGCCCGGGAUGAAGAGGAGAUACAAG